RNAcentral lists this unclassified non-coding RNA (300 nucleotides) under uncultured fungus. Its description in RNAcentral is "sequence contains 5.8S rRNA gene, ITS2". The stretch from base 1 to 71 matches the Rfam family "5.8S ribosomal RNA", at positions 84 to 154 of the family's 154-position model. The record is from RNAcentral. Lineage: Eukaryota; Fungi.
GUGAAUCAUCGAAUCUUUGAACGCACAUUGCGCCUUCUGGAAUUCCGGGAGGCAUGCCUGUUUGAGCGUCAGUAAACAACCCUCGGGUGGGAGUAAUUUUUACUUCCGUUUCCGGUCAUGGGCGCCGGUGCUGCCAGUCCUCCCCGACCUGCAAAGAGUUGGGGGGGACGCCACCCGCCUUAAAGACGUUGCAGCCCGACCGCUGGAACUCCCCGCCACAUGGGACAACGGAGUGGAAAUUUAACACCGUCCGCGGCCCGAGCGAAAGGAUACGGCGGCGCAAAGCCACAUCAGACACUG